RNAcentral lists this ribosomal RNA (253 nucleotides) under uncultured bacterium. RNAcentral's name for it is "partial 16S ribosomal RNA". It matches the Rfam family "Bacterial small subunit ribosomal RNA", at positions 524 to 776 of the family's 1533-position model. The record is from RNAcentral.
UACAGAGGGGGCAAGCGUUGUUCGGAAUUACUGGGCGUAAAGGGUUCGUAGGUGGCUCGCUAAGUCACACGUGAAAUCCCUCAGCUUAACUGGGGAACUGCGUGUGAGACUGGCAAGCUCGAGUGCAGGAGAGGAAUGCGGAAUUCCAGGUGUAGCGGUGAAAUGCGUAGAUAUCUGGAGGAACACCGGUGGCGAAGGCGGCAUUCUGGACUGCAACUGACACUGAGGAACGAAAGCCAGGGGAGCAAACGGG